This 490-nucleotide ribosomal RNA is filed under the name uncultured bacterium. Its description in RNAcentral is "partial 16S ribosomal RNA". It matches the Rfam family "Bacterial small subunit ribosomal RNA", at positions 30 to 507 of the family's 1533-position model. The record is from RNAcentral.
AUUGAACGCUGGCGGCAGGCCUAACACAUGCAAGUCGAACGGUAACAGGAAGCAGCUUGCUGCUUUGCUGACGAGUGGCGGACGGGUGAGUAAUGUCUGGGAAACUGCCUGAUGGAGGGGGAUAACUACUGGAAACGGUAGCUAAUACCGCAUAACGUCGCAAGACCAAAGAGGGGGACCUUCGGGCCUCUUGCCAUCGGAUGUGCCCAGAUGGGAUUAGCUAGUAGGUGGGGUAACGGCUCACCUAGGCGACGAUCCCUAGCUGAUCUGAGAGGAUGACCAGCCACACUGGAACUGAGACACGGUCCAGACUCCUACGGGAGGCAGCAGUGGGGAAUAUUGCACAAUGGGCGCAAGCCUGAUGCAGCCAUGCCGCGUGUAUGAAGAAGGCCUUCGGGUUGUAAAGUACUUUCAGCGGGGAGGAAGGGAGUAAAGUUAAUACCUUUGCUCAUUGACGUUACCCGCAGAAGAAGCACCGGCUAACUCCGUG